RNAcentral lists this unclassified non-coding RNA (321 nucleotides) under Hevea brasiliensis (rubber tree). The record is from RNAcentral. Lineage: Eukaryota; Viridiplantae; Streptophyta; Magnoliopsida; Malpighiales; Euphorbiaceae.
UUGCUUUUGAAGUUCCUGGAGGCUGGCAUAAUGAGAAGGAAGCUAUAGUUUUGACCGUUCUUCAGAUGCUUAUGGGAGGUGGUGGCUCAUUCUCUGCAGGGGGGCCUGGAAAAGGGAUGCACUCACGGCUAUAUCUCCGAGUCUUGAAUGAGUAUCAACAGCUCCAUUCUUUUUCUGCAUUCAACAGCAUCUUCAAUAAUACUGGAUUGUUUGGCAUCUAUGCUAGCACUACAUCAGACUUUGUGCAAAAAGCAGUUGACAUAGCAGUUGGAGAAUUAAUUGCAAUUGCAGUGCCUGGACAAGUUUCCAAGUUACAACUUG